This 468-nucleotide long non-coding RNA is filed under the name Lathyrus oleraceus (garden pea). RNAcentral's name for it is "Pisum sativum (pea) long non-coding RNA (PSAT_LNC012455)". The record is from RNAcentral. Lineage: Eukaryota; Viridiplantae; Streptophyta; Magnoliopsida; Fabales; Fabaceae.
AUUUGUCAAAUGGGGAUUAAAAAAUCACGAAAUAAUUAAAUCGGAACCAACAAAUAAUGCAUGAGUGUCAGUGCAAGAGAACCGGCUCAUUGUAAGAAAGCCCAAGAGUAAGCUAUGUGAGGUUGAUGGCGAUGCUUAAAAAGCAAUCGACUUACACGGGUUUGAAAAUGGGCUCGAUAUUAGAUCGAGAAAAGUAUGAUUUUUUUUGUUUUUUUAAAAAUGGUUUUGCAUGAUAUGAUGAAAUUAAAUAAGGAAGCAGGGACAUAAAAAAAUAUUACAGGAAACAAAAUACUAAAAAAACAAAAUAAUAAUAAAAUAUAAAAUCUAAAAAGAAAUGAAAUACUAGCAAAAAAAAAUACUAAAGAAAAAUGAAAUACUGAAAAAAAGUUAAAAAGUACUAAAAUGCUAUUUACGAGUAUCAAACCCACUCCUCUUGAGACUAUGACACUACCCUUUCUCCACUAAGCU